This is a long non-coding RNA of Mobula hypostoma (lesser devil ray), 637 nucleotides long. RefSeq lists it as uncharacterized. The record is from RefSeq and is a predicted model, not a curated record. Lineage: Eukaryota; Metazoa; Chordata; Chondrichthyes; Myliobatiformes; Myliobatidae. The transcript is spliced from 4 exons.
UGCCUCGCCCGAACCGUCCGCGAGGUGCACCGGUGCAGCAGAGAACAGGCACAAAGAGAAGAUGAGACCGCGGUAUCAGGCCGCCCUCGGAAAGUAGUGCGGCUUUCGGCGGCGUGUGGGAGCCGGGAUCGCGGGAAUUAGACCAGUGGAGGAACAGAGAGAACUUGGAGUCCGUGUCUACAGAUCCUUCAAAGUGCCACACAAAAUGAUAGGGAGGUUAAGAAGACAAGGAAAGUUAACAUGGUGUCAGUUUGUCCCGGACAGUGACAAUCGAUCAAACUGCAUUCCUCAAGACUGGUGCCUCUAUAUUUUGGACAACUGUUAAGAUGAACAAGCCUCCAUUUAAAUGGUCUUCAGCUGUUGCAGCUGCCCUGGGGAGGAGACACUGGACCUGCCUGCUGAUGUUGCUCUCCAGUGUUCAUUCUCUGGCUUGUCUUCGGCUGCACUAGCUGCGUGGCCGUGUACUCCACAAACACUGGGAUUGCAGAUUACUACAUGGGAAUGUGGAAAGAAACCAGGGCAUCCGGAGGAAACCCACGCAGUCACAGGGAUUCAAGAUUGUCACCUACUUUCCUGACUUUAGUGUCUGUACUACAAUAAAACCAUGUUUUGAACUGUAGAAUGUCAGUUUUGAAAA